UGGUGACUCCCUAGUUCUUGUGUUAUGAGGAGUAAAUAACACUUCUUUAUUUACUUUUUUGCAGCAGUCGUGAUUUUAUAGAUCUCUAUCAUAUCCCCCCUUAGUUGUUGUGAUUAAUCUUUGAGCAAAAGUAUUGCCAAGCUUAAAAUGGACAAAGGUAUUGUCAGUGUUAGGCCUCAAACUUCCGCUUAGCAAAGGUAAAAAGGGCACACUUUGCAGAGGUGAAGAGUGCAUGCUUUGCAGACGUAAGCUAAGACUUGUGGUCAAAAUGUGCUGCAACCAGAUAACACAUUCUAAUUCCUAUAAGAGGAGAUAAGUUGUGCCCCUGGGUACAGCUUGUCUAACUCACAAUGAAAACAACUGGCUACAAGAAAAUAAGUAUAAAUUAUGCGGUCAAAGCGACACAAGGAGAUAAGUAAGCAUAAAUUAUACAGCCAAGGUGACAACGCUGAUCACAAUAAAGAUUUGGCUGACCCUAAUUGGUUGAUCUGUUUUAAGACAGUGGACGGAUCAGAUAAAAAGUACGAAGGCACAGGACUGUGUGUGUGUAUUUCAGUCAUAAGGGAAACCUGACCCACACCCCCUGAACUGAAAGGACGUGCACUUCAUGACUGUCUGUACCUGGCCAGUGCGGAAAAUGGCUUACUGAAGGGUAACACAUUCUCAGAAGGAGGGGUGGGAAUCCAGAGAGGAACAAAAAAGAUUCCUGCCUUGUGCAAAAGAUAUAUAAGGGAGUGGAACACAACAAAGAAGGCUGCAGUCAUGAGAAAUCCCCCAGCUACCACCUGAGCUGGAACAAGGACUGUACCAAGGGAAAGAAUUGGGUCCAGACUAGGAAGGCAUCCAGUCUGUGAUAGAAGCUAAUUGAAACAUCUUUGAGGGUGAGAUUUUAUCUGUAUUCAGUUUUCUUACUGUAUUAUGCUUAGACUUGUGUGUUUUGUUUUAUUUUGCUUGGUAAUUCACUUUGUUCUGUCCAUUAUUACUUGGAACCACUUAAAUCUUACUUUUUGUAUUUCAUAAAAUCACCUUUUACUUAUUAAUUAACUCAGAGUAUGUAUUAAUACCAUGGGGGAGGGAGGAGCACAAACAGCUGUGCUUCUCUAUCAGUGUGAUAGAGAGCGAACAAUUUAUGAAUUUAUCCUGUAUAAGCUUUAUACAGGGUAAAAGAUUUAUUUGGGGUUUGAACCCUAUUGGAAGCUGGGUACCUGAGUGUUGGAGACAGGAACACUUCUUAAGCUAUUUUCAGUUAAGCCUGCAGCUUUCAGGGGACGUGGUUCAACCCUGGGUCUGUGUUUGUAGCAGGCAAGCGUGUCUGGCUCAAACCAGGUAAGGCACUCAAGUCCCAAGCUGCCAGGGAAAACGGGCUUAGAGGUAGUUUUAGCACAUCAGGUGGCAGUUCCAAAGGGGGUUUCUGUGAUCCAACCCGUCAGUUAUUUCUUUUUAUUUUUUAAACAAGUGUUCCUCUACUCUGUUACUAUGUAAAAAACCUAUGCAAACAGAACAAACUGAUUACAGUGAAACAAGUUACUAUCAAAUGAUCAAAGUAAACAAAAAGUUCUCUAAUCUCUUGGAAAAGUUACAGUAAUUUUAUGAAUUACUUGAAACAAUGCAAAAAAAUUUCAGAUAGAAGUGUGACUAAGUUAAUGAUAUCCCUUUGACUAGAGCAAAAUAAAUGUUCUGAGACUGCAAACCACAUUGCAUGCAAAGGAUUGCUUAAUCUGCCUGCCUUUUCAUAUUUGGAACAAAAAACUUGCUGACCCAUCUUUGGUUCUUCAGAUAGCUGACUAAAGACAUCCAGCUUUAUCCAAGGAUGAAGUAAGGAGAGAAAUGAUCUGUGAAGCAAAACUUUUCUUUACGGUAAUAAUUUCAUGCUCCCCAUUCAGCCUAAAUGACAACUUACCUAUGGAGGAAAGAAGGCCCACAGAUAAAACAAAAACAGACACUAUAACAAUGAACAACUAACCGGCAAUUGUUCUGAACUAACAUUUUUUAACUUGAUAUGGUGUUCGUACAAAUUUGUGAAGAGAUACUAACAAAGAGAUGCCAUUGGUAAACCCAGUGUACACCAGGCAAAUAAACCAUUCCUGACAAUGAU
This is a long non-coding RNA of Gopherus flavomarginatus (Mexican gopher tortoise), 2095 nucleotides long. RefSeq lists it as uncharacterized. Lineage: Eukaryota; Metazoa; Chordata; Testudines; Testudinidae. The transcript is spliced from 2 exons. The record is from RefSeq and is a predicted model, not a curated record.